GACGAACGCUGGCGGCGUGCUUAACACAUGCAAGUCGAACGGAAAGGCCCUGCUUUUGUGGGGUGCUCGAGUGGCGAAAGGGUGAGUAACACGAGAGUAACCUGCACUUGACUUUGGGAUACCUUCAGGAAACUGGGGAUAAUACCGGAUAGGAGCUCCUGCUGCAUGGUGGGGGUUGGAAAGUUUCGGCGGUUGGGGAUGGACGCGCGGGUUAUCAGCUUGUUGGGCGGGUAGUGGCUUACCAAGUCUGUGACGGGUAGCCGGCCUGAGAGGGUGACCGGCCACAUUGGGACUGAGAUACGGCCCAGACUCCUACGGGAGGCAGCAGGGGGGAAUAUUGCACAAUGGGCGGAAGCCUGAGGCAGCAAUGCCGCGUGCGGGAUGACGGCCUGCGGGUUGUAAACCUCUUUCGCCUGUGACGAAGCGUGAGUGACGGUAAUGGGUAGAGAAGCACCGGCUAACUACGUG
Molecule: ribosomal RNA, 468 nt
Filed under: uncultured bacterium
Lineage: Bacteria
Description: partial 16S ribosomal RNA
Rfam family: Bacterial small subunit ribosomal RNA
Source: RNAcentral